This is a long non-coding RNA of Equus caballus (horse), 861 nucleotides long. Lineage: Eukaryota; Metazoa; Chordata; Mammalia; Perissodactyla; Equidae. The record is from Ensembl.
AUUAUGUUCAACUAUUAUUCUUGGAAUUCUAAAAGAGAGCUAGAAAGUUUUUUAACAACGAGAAACUGUAUUUAGUGAAAUUUUUAAAAGAAAAUGUUUUCAAAUUUUAUAAAAGUGUUUUGUUUAUUGCAGAUAUCAAAGCAGAAAAACAUUAUAAAAACAAACAAACAAACAAACAAAAUAGUGGCAUUCCACAAGCCCAGAACUUUGGAGGAGCACGUUCCGAGAUGAGGAAAAAGGGCCUCAAGGACCUAUUCAUAAAAGUUCUUCUCACACAAGAAUGUAAACAUGUCUUCUCUUCCAAACGUGAAAAUGCCUGCCAGACAGCCAGCAUCUCCUCUGCGCAGCCCAGGAUUUCCUGGGACAUGCGUGCAAAUCUGACACGUGAUGUGAAAAGCUACUCACUGGUGGCCAGAUGACCUGAUGGCCCUGCUCCAGCUCUUUACCGUCUUCACUUCCUCGGGGAAGACUUCCCUGGCCUCCCUGAUGAGAUGAUCCCUCCAGUUACAGGUUUGGAUGGCCUCUGCUCACCGUGCCACUUAUCACACUGACCUGUGUGAUACUUGGCUUACGUCUUCACGCUCAAUAGACUAUUGGCUCCAUGAGUAUGAGGACUGUGUUUGCUCAUCACCGACUCUCUACAGCUAACGCCGUUCUUGCUCCUACCAGCAACUCAAAGUAUUGUUGAGUAAAUAAAUGAGUAGCAGUUUUAUGAAAAUACGUUUAUAACUGGCUAUUGACACAGAGCUAGGGAUGAAGUCUCACAACAAAAAUAACCUCAGGAUUUAAAAGUUCUCAUUUGUCUAGAGAGUGUGGUCAAAUCAUGAAAGAUGAAGUUUAACAGAAAUAAAAGCUUAGUCC